This 1448-nucleotide long non-coding RNA is filed under the name Gossypium barbadense (sea-island cotton). RNAcentral describes it as "long non-coding RNA (GBAR_LNC021907)". The record is from RNAcentral. Lineage: Eukaryota; Viridiplantae; Streptophyta; Magnoliopsida; Malvales; Malvaceae.
ACUGAUCCAGCGAAUAUUCCUGAAGUCCUAUGCGCAACGUUUCACUUGGACUGAAAGGAAUUAAACGCGAAAUCCUCGGGGUCAAAUUAAAAAAAUGAAAAAACUUGAUUAUGAAACAGAGAAAAAUCCGAAGGGUCAGGCAGGAAAAUAAUCCAUCAGGCAUAAAAUCACGCGGACCUUCAUUGGGUCGGACUCGGGCGUGCGGGUUAAUGGCCUUAUACGACGCCGUUUUAGAGCCACUGAAGCAGGCUCUAUACGGCGUCGUUUAAUCCCUUUUUAAACCACUUCAGAAAACCCUAAUCCAAACAUUUCAUCCCCCCUAACUGAAAUCUAAACCCCUUAUACCCAUCAGCCGCCUCAAAGCCGGAAACUCUCCUCGACUCCGACGAAGACCGACCGAGAGGGUUCCGACGGCGCGCCCAGGUAAGGUUGCUUCUCAUCUUUUCUCUUCUUAUUUUAUAUUCUUAUAUAUGUGAUUAAAAUAAAAAAAACGAAAAGGAAAGAAAACCAUAUUAAGAAACAGUAUGAAAAAAUAGAGAAGAAAAAAAAAAAACCUUCUUUUCAAUUUCUGAUAUCUCGAUUUUAUUCUCUUCAAAAUGUUUUUUUUUUUACAUUUGUUCCCCCCUCGAAAUUACAUUAUUUGUGGCUUUUUAUAGCUGAUUUUACACUUCAAUGUUGACUGUUUUUGGCUACUGUUUCGCUUCAUUUUCGUUACUAUUUCUAUUCUGUCUCUUUUCCUUUUCUUCCGCUGUUUCUACCUCUUUUCUCAUGUUCACAGGCGCUGACGGAGGAGAAAGGCUGACCCUUACCAUUUUGGUGCAAGAGAGGCAGCCCUCGAGCAAUGUGCACGCCGACACUGCACAUGGAGGCAGCGGCGCAAAGGAAAAGAGGGAACCCUAGGGUUCCCUGAUGCUGUUUAGUCUUUUGGGCCCCAUUGGGCCGUUUAGGGUUUUAAAAUUUGGGCUGUGGAUUGAUUUGGUGUUGGCCCGGGCUAAUAUUGGGCUGUACAUUUAAAAUUUAGUCUACAUUCUUUAGUUUUGGGACAAUAAGUCUCUAUACUUUUUUCAUUUAAAAAUCUUGAUCCCUCCGUCAAUUUUUCUGUUAAAAUUGAUGAUGUGGUUGUUAUAAAAAAAAUAGAACAACUCUUUUAGCUCUAAUUAUUUAUAUUUUUUUUUGUCGAUUUAGUCCAAACUCUUUAAAAAUAUAUGAACAAUUACAAAAAAAUAAAAUUAAAAGUUAAAUGAUUUUUCGCAUUUUCAAUAAAAAUUUGGAAAUUAAAAUCUAUUUAAUUUAAAAUAAAUUGAAAUUAUAUUAAAUAUUCAAAGAAAGUUAAUAAAAUCUCCCAAACUUAAAAUUAUUAGUAGGGUACAUAUUAAAUGUAGUUUAAUAAAUAAAAUGAUAGAAAUCCGAAUGCAAUCCAAGCGAUUGUUGACCUCUUUGAAGUUUCA